Molecule: ribosomal RNA, 1308 nt
Filed under: uncultured bacterium
Lineage: Bacteria
Description: bacterial SSU rRNA
Rfam family: Bacterial small subunit ribosomal RNA
Source: RNAcentral
AACGUACGCUGGCGGCACGCCUAACACAUGCAAGUCGAACGAAGUAGCAAUACUUAGUGGCAGACGGGUGAGUAACAUGUAGGUAUCUGCCCUUUGGCCUGGAAUAACACGAGGAAACUUGUGCCAAUACCGGAUAAGUCUUUACGGAGAAAGCUUUAUGCACCAUUGGAUGAGCCUGCACUUGAUUAGUUUGUUGGUGGGGUAAUGGCCUACCAAGACUGUGAUCAAUAGCUGAUUUGAGAGGAUGAUCAGCCACAUUGGGACUGAGACACGGCCCAAACUCCUACGGGAGGCAGCAGUGGGGAAUCUUGCACAAUGGAGGAAACUCUGAUGCAGCGAUGCCGCGUGAGUGAAGAAGGCCCUUGGGUUGUAAAGCUCUUUCGUCGGGGAAGAAAAUGACUGUACCCGAAUAAGAAGGUCCGGCUAACUUCGUGCCAGCAGCCGCGGUAAUACGAAGGGACCUAGCGUAGUUCGGAAUUACUGGGCUUAAAGAGUUCGUAGGUGGUUGAAAAAGUUAGUGGUGAAAUCCCAGAGCUUAACUCUGGAACUGCCAUUAAAACUUUUCAGCUAGAGUAUGAUAGAGGAAAGCAGAAUUUCUAGUGUAGAGGUGAAAUUCGUAGAUAUUAGAAAGAAUACCAAUUGCGAAGGCAGCUUUCUGGAUCAUUACUGACACUGAGGAACGAAAGCAUGGGUAGCGAAGAGGAUUAGAUACCCUCGUAGUCCAUGCCGUAAACGAUGUGUGUUAGACGUUGGAAAUUUAUUUUCAGUGUCGCAGGGAAACCGAUAAACACACCGCCUGGGGAGUACGACCGCAAGGUUAAAACUCAAAUGAAUUGACGGGGACCCGCACAAGUAGUGGAGCAUGUGGUUUAAUUCGAAGAUACGCGCAGAACCUUACCAACACUUGACAUGUUCGUCGCGACUUUAAGAGAUUAAAGUUUUCGGUUCGGCCGGACGAAACACAGGUGCUGCAUGGCUGUCGUCAGCUCGUGUCGUGAGAUGUUGGGUUAAGUCCCGCAACGAGCGCAACCCUCACUUUUAGUUGCCAUCAUUAAGUUGGGCACUCUGAAAGAACUGCCAGUGAUAAGCUGGAGGAAGGUGGGGAUGACGUCAAGUCCUCAUGGCCCUUACGUGUUGGGCUACACACGUGCUACAAUGGUAUCUACAACAGGAAGCAAGACUGCGAAGUUAAGCAAAUCCCUAAAAGAUACCUCAGUUCGGAUUGCACUCUGCAACUCGAGUGCAUGAAGCUGGAAUUACUAGUAAUCGUGGAAUCAGCGUGCCACGGUGAAAUGCGUUCCCGGGUCU